GUGCUCGCUUCAGCAGCACAUAUGCUAACAUUGGAACGAUACAGAGAAGAUCAGCAUUGCCCCUGCGCAAGGAUGACAUGCAAAUUCGCGAAGGCUUCCAUAUUUUU
Small nuclear RNA from Ochotona princeps (American pika), 107 nucleotides. The record is from Ensembl. Lineage: Eukaryota; Metazoa; Chordata; Mammalia; Lagomorpha; Ochotonidae.